This 497-nucleotide ribosomal RNA is filed under the name uncultured bacterium. Its description in RNAcentral is "partial 16S ribosomal RNA". It matches the Rfam family "Bacterial small subunit ribosomal RNA", at positions 28 to 507 of the family's 1533-position model. The record is from RNAcentral.
GAUGAACGCUGGCGGCGUGCCUAAUACAUGCAAGUCGAGCGAACAGAUAAGGAGCUUGCUCCUUUGACGUUAGCGGCGGACGGGUGAGUAACACGUGGGUAACCUACCUAUAAGACUGGGAUAACUUCGGGAAACCGGAGCUAAUACCGGAUAAUAUUUCGAACCGCAUGGUUCGAUAGUGAAAGAUGGUUUUGCUAUCACUUAUAGAUGGACCCGCGCCGUAUUAGCUAGUUGAUAAGGUAACGGCUUACCAAGGCGACGAUACGUAGCCGACCUGAGAGGGUGAUCGGCCACACUGGAACUGAGACACGGUCCAGACUCCUACGGGAGGAAGCAGUAGGGAAUCUUCCGCAAUGGGCGAAAGCCUGACGGAGCAACGCCGCGUGAGUGAUGAAGGUCUUCGGAUCGUAAAACUCUGUUAUUAGGGAAGAACAUACGUGUAAGUAACUGUGCACGUCUUGACGGUACCUAAUCAGAAAGCCACGGCUAACUACGUA